AGAGACCACCAGCGUCGUGGCAACACGGCGGCUUGGCAAGCCCCCUCCGGAGCAAACGCAUAUAGGAGCGCUAUGGUGUGGCCCGCACCGCGCUCGGGUAGCGCGCUAGAGCCUGGCGGUGACGUCAGGAGUAGAUAAAUGGCCGUCCACGACAGAACCCGGCUUAUCGGCCCGCUUCGCAC
This 182-nucleotide RNase P RNA is filed under the name Coriobacteriales bacterium. Its description in RNAcentral is "partial RNase P RNA component class A". It matches the Rfam family "Bacterial RNase P class A", at positions 170 to 367 of the family's 367-position model. From Rfam's summary of the family: Ribonuclease P (RNase P) is a ubiquitous endoribonuclease, found in archaea, bacteria and eukarya as well as chloroplasts and mitochondria. Its best characterised activity is the generation of mature 5'-ends of tRNAs by cleaving the 5'-leader elements of precursor-tRNAs. The record is from RNAcentral. Lineage: Bacteria; Bacillati; Actinomycetota; Coriobacteriia; Coriobacteriales.